Long non-coding RNA from Olea europaea var. sylvestris, 419 nucleotides. RefSeq lists it as uncharacterized. NCBI's taxonomy places the organism in Eukaryota, Viridiplantae, Streptophyta, Magnoliopsida, Lamiales, Oleaceae. The record is from RefSeq and is a predicted model, not a curated record. The transcript has 2 exons.
UAUCAAUUUUCAUUUCAAUUUCCAAGUUCCAACCCUUCCUUUUAGCUCCGCCCGUCCGCCACUCUGCCGCCUCCGCUCCGCCUACUCCUCCCACUCAGUCCGGCGCAUCUCAGUCUCCGCCUCCAUUCGCGCUAUUCCAGUGGUUGUUUAUGUCUAAGAUUAAGCUUGUCCCCGAGUGAAAUUAGCACUUUCCUCUAGAAGCGGCACUGGCACUGCAACACAUUGCUUUUCAAUUGAUUUUGCCACCAAACAGACGACUUCCAGUUAAUUGCUGCCUCAGGCCCUCUGUGACUGUGAGUUUCUUAUUCUGUCACUGGAAUUUGGAAAUAGUAUAUAUUGCCCUGUGAAAUUGUGAAUUGCAUUGUGAAUUGAUUAUAGUAUUGGCCUUUUAGAUGUGAAUUGCUUAUAGUAUUGCUAUG